RNAcentral lists this long non-coding RNA (1453 nucleotides) under Homo sapiens (human). RNAcentral's name for it is "HSALNT0068539". The record is from RNAcentral. Lineage: Eukaryota; Metazoa; Chordata; Mammalia; Primates; Hominidae.
CCCAUCUGGUGCUCUUCCAUUUCCAUCCUCUGGGUGGGGCAGAGAUGUUAGGGGCAGAGUCGCUUGACCGACCUGUGCAUGCUUCAAAUACACCAGGGUCCUGUGUCUGCAUGCACGGCUGGAGUGCCCUCCUCCAGGCCCCAAUCUCUGCCUGGUCAACUCCUCUGCACCCGUCACCUCUCAGUUUGGGCAUCACUCUCUCUGAGAAGCCCUCCUUCAAGCCCUGGGUGCACCAGGUUGCAGUCUGAGUUUUCCCUGUACCUCACUGCAUGUCACUGGCCUGGCAGUGAGCACAGGGUAUAUGUGCUUGUGUGAUUAUCUGACUGAGGCUUGUCCUUCCCAGUAGGUGCUGAGUUCCAUCGAAUCAGGGCCCAUUCCUAGAUUUGCAGCCCUGGCACAGCAUCCAGCAUCCAGCAGGUGUUCAACAGACACUGGUGGCAUUAUCCCGUCUGUAAAUUUGUCAUGAGGCAACCAGAGAGGCCCAGGCUUCCGUACAAGGCCAAUCAGCGUCAGGUCCUGGCUUGGGGCUCAGGCCCUGGUCCAGGCUGGGAUCCUCGAGCGCUUCCUGCUGACAGUUAAUCAUAGUUAAUUGUGACCCCCAGCUUUCCCAGGGGCCACCGCCCAGCUCUCGUCUGAUGUCAUUCACGUUCAGCAGUGUGCAUCUUGCCACGAUCACGUGGUCUCUCAUUUUCCUCCUGGAUCCAGCCUUCCCAGCGGGCUCCAAGUGGCUGGGCCUGUGAGAUGCUGCGACUCUUCGAGAGCUUCCUAUUUCUGUGAAGACGCUCAGGCCACGGCCUCAUGUUCCUCAUCCAGCUUUCUGAGGACAAUGCGGGAAAGAUCUCAAGUUCGUAUCAAGGCUGAAUCCGACUCUAUCCACGUGACUUCUAUUGGAAUCCGAGAGUUGGACCCAAUGGAGGGUCCAGCCACCACCCGGAACGACCUGGUCAUUUUCCAGAUGAGGGGACCUACGUUUAGAUGAAUGAAGACAAUGAGGCUGAGAGAUGUUCAGUUACUAGGUCAAAUUACAAAUAUGUGCACUUCAAACUGGGCUCAGGUCUGGAUCAAUCUUUCUCCAUGGCCAGUGCUCUUGGACCAUCAAGAAUUACCUUUUCCUGCUUCUACCAUGGUUCCCACUCCCCCUCCCUCUGGCCCACCAUUUCCACCCUGCACUAUGCAUGGGCUCUGGACUCACACCAGCCGGGAGCUCUUUCCAGCAUUCAACAUAUACUUACUGAGACCUGCCUUCUGGAGCUUACCCAGGAGCUAAGAAAACAAGAGACAGUCAAAGAUAAAACUGCAUAAUAUGAUACGCUGAGGGAAAUAGAGGGGGAGAGUGAGGGUGCUGUGUGAGAGACAGACGGCUGGGAAGAGUCCAGGGAGUACAAAGGCCAGGAACUGUGGGCCAAGAGCUGUGGGUGGGGCCUGUGGGUGGAGCUCUGCAUGGGAAAUCUGG